AAAGGUAUUCUUAAGAUUGGAGCAGAGUCGCAGUAGCAGUAUGGUGGUCUUCACUCAGAGGCAAGUUCAACAAAUGAUACAGAGUGCAGACAGCAAUAACCCCUACACCCCAGGCAAUGGCAGAUUUGCAGGCAUUGUGUUCUGCUUUGUUGGAUUCUGUUAAUGACAAAAGCCUGGCUUUAUCACAUCAACGCAAAA
Molecule: long non-coding RNA, 198 nt
Organism: Pomacea canaliculata
Lineage: Eukaryota; Metazoa; Mollusca; Gastropoda; Architaenioglossa; Ampullariidae
Exons: 2
Source: RefSeq, a predicted model, not a curated record